Nycticebus coucang (slow loris) is the source of this 1512-nucleotide long non-coding RNA. RefSeq lists it as uncharacterized. NCBI's taxonomy places the organism in Eukaryota, Metazoa, Chordata, Mammalia, Primates, Lorisidae. The record is from RefSeq and is a predicted model, not a curated record. The transcript has 4 exons.
AAAAGCUAGCCAGGGUUCCUCCUGUCUUCUGCAGGCCUGUCCACACAUCCACAGUGAGCACGUGCUGGGCCAAGGCUCUUUUCACAGGGGACAGGGUGGGAAAUUGUCUGCGAGGAAGUGCCCAGGAAGCCCGGUUGGUUGAUUCGGUUCUCUGCACCAGUGGUGAAGACAGGCUGCCUGCCUGCCUCUGGGGGCACGUUGGGUACAAACUUCUUGUAACUGUUGUGAGCAGGACAGGCAGGAGGAAAUCAAAGUGACAGCUCUGUCUUCAGCUGACCAGGAUUCAGGCUGGAAUUGGGAGUUAGGCCUGAAUUCAGACCUGAAAAGCAAUCACUAGGAGCCCCAGUCCCUGUAAGGGUAAAGGUAGAUCAACGGGGCUUAUGGGAUUUGCUUCCUCUGCUGAGUGAUCCCCACUUCUCUCUGCCUGUGUAAAUCCUCUCUCUGCUUUGAAAAGCAGCUCAGGGCUGCCUCUUUAGGGAAGCCUUCCCUGACUGCAAAUACCCUCCCUAAGGUUUCCACCCUCUGAACAGCUUGCAGUAUUGUCUUCAGGUGGCACUGAGGAACAGGGCACUCAGGAGGUAUCUUGGGCUGCUCCUUAGACACUCGUGGGCCUGCAGUCACAGAGGCUGGGCGUGUAUAGAAAGAGAUGCUCUCCACAUCCACAGCCCAGCCUAGCAGAAUACACAAAAGGCAGCCUGUGUGCCCCAGUCCGGCACCCCGGGCAAUUCCACGGGGAGAGGAGUGAAAGAUAGCCCUGUCAACAGUGCUCUGAAACUGAUGUCAGCUGUGAGCCCCAUUCUGGUGGCCUCCAAUCUGCCUCAUGGACCAGGCAAGCAGAGUGCCACAGACCAGGACACGUAUUCUCCCCGAGGGAACCUCAGAAUUUGGCUUAGGAACAGGAUGCCCCAACACCUCGAGAACUUCAUACGUUGGAAAGCAGUAUCCUGUCGUGACUAGCCCUAUGGGGCCAAAGGCAGCGUCUGCCCAGGAAUUGAAAAAACACCUGAUUAUGUGGUAGGUGAGCCUUUCCUGCCCCACAGGUACCACCCCUCACAUACCUGUGCGUUCCUUUUUCUCUACCAGCUUCCUCAACGUCACACCCCACUGGCUUACCAGAUUCCUGCUGAAUCCCAGCCUGCUAGUGCCACUCGAUGGCAUCCAAACAGGUGCCAAAACUAGGCCAUGAAGGGGGACAUUCUUCACGGCCUUCGGGAUCAAUGAAAAAGGCUGAACCCAGGCAAGCCAAGGGCCUGGCUUGCCUUCAGGAAAUUCCGGGCUGUCUGCAGCAGCUGUGGUUCGAGUAGUACAACAAAUUCACUUACUGAAUGACAACAGCUUUAUUGGCAAGCCAAUUCAAUUAAAGCCCCUGCAUCCAACAAAGUCUCCGGCAGCCCUCUCUGCAUAAAGAACAUGGAAUCGUGCCUACAUUUCCCUGAGUGCCCUCAGCCCUAGCUGUCCCUCUCCAUGAGAGGGAGAGGGAUGAAUGAAUUAGACUCGGAUGAUGGUAAUUAA